UACGUAGGGUGCGAGCGUUAUUCGGAAUUACUGGGCGUAAAGUGUGCGCAGGCGGCUUCGCAAGUCGAGUGUGAAAUCCCCGAGCUUAACUUGGGAAUUGCGCUCGAAACUACGGAGCUGGAGUGUGGCAGAGGAAGGUGGAAUUCCACGUGUAGCGGUGAAAUGCGUAGAGAUGUGGAGGAACACCGAUGGCGAAGGCAGCCUUCUGGGCCAACACUGACGCUCAUGCACGAAAGCGUGGGGAGCAAACAGG
RNAcentral lists this ribosomal RNA (253 nucleotides) under uncultured bacterium. Its description in RNAcentral is "partial 16S ribosomal RNA". It matches the Rfam family "Bacterial small subunit ribosomal RNA", at positions 524 to 776 of the family's 1533-position model. The record is from RNAcentral.